UAGGGAAUUUUCGUCAAUGGGCGCAAGCCUGAACGAGCGAUGCCGCGUGAGUGAAGAAGGCCUCGGGUCGUAAAGCUCUGUUGCGGGGGGAAAAAAGGGAC
RNAcentral lists this ribosomal RNA (101 nucleotides) under uncultured bacterium. Its description in RNAcentral is "partial 16S ribosomal RNA". It matches the Rfam family "Bacterial small subunit ribosomal RNA", at positions 355 to 456 of the family's 1533-position model. The record is from RNAcentral.